AAAGUACAAGAACUGAGCAAGAAAUCUCGACUGCAUAAGAUAUUUGAUGCCCAAAUUUUCACACAACUACAAUGAACAGAUGGUGAUUUUAAGAAACUAGGAAAGAACAGUAUAUAUUUUGGAUGUUUGUCAUGCAAUUCCUUGUAUUCUGCAAUUAGGGUGUCGAUUGUUGGCGUAAAAGAUGUCUUUUUAGAAUGCAUCAACAAUCAAGGCAGAACGAAUAAUAAUUACAAAAUAAUUUUUUUUAAUACUGAAUGUAAUAAACUACAAACAAGUAAUAAAAUAUAUGAUGUUUUAAUUUCA
This is a long non-coding RNA of Hevea brasiliensis (rubber tree), 303 nucleotides long. RefSeq lists it as uncharacterized. NCBI's taxonomy places the organism in Eukaryota, Viridiplantae, Streptophyta, Magnoliopsida, Malpighiales, Euphorbiaceae. The transcript has 2 exons. The record is from RefSeq and is a predicted model, not a curated record.